RNAcentral lists this ribosomal RNA (253 nucleotides) under uncultured bacterium. Its description in RNAcentral is "partial 16S ribosomal RNA". It matches the Rfam family "Bacterial small subunit ribosomal RNA", at positions 524 to 776 of the family's 1533-position model. The record is from RNAcentral.
UACGUAGGGGCCAAGCGUUGUCCGGAUUUAUUGGGCGUAAAGAGCUCGUAGGCGGUUCGGUAAGUCAGCUGUGAAAACUCGGGGCUUAACCCCGAGCCUGCAGUGGAUACGGGCAGACUAGAGGUAGGUAGGGGAGAAUGGAAUUCCCGGUGUAGCGGUGAAAUGCGCAGAUAUCGGGAGGAACACCGGUGGCGAAGGCGGUUCUCUGGGCAUGUCCUGACGCUGAGGAGCGAAAGUGUGGGGAGCGAACAGG